CCCGAGCCUGGCUCCUUCCAUGCAAAGCCUGGCGAGGAAGGCGAGGAAGCCUGGCAGGGAUGGUUUUUUCACCACCUCGAAGACCAGCACGCGAUUCCGCCUCUAGUUUGACUGUUUUUGUUGUUUAAAUCUGAGUCUAGCAAUCAGCAUCGACAUAGAAUCUGCCAGCAGCAAAACUGUGACCAGGCAGAGAAACGGGUGGGGGACAGUUCCCAGGCCUCCUCUCCAGCCCGCUGUGCAGCGAGUUCAGUUGCUUCACGCCCUAAGCCAGCGAGUACCCAUCAACAAGGCUGUCAGUGACUGCAGUGACUUCCAGGCGCCUUAUCCUCUCUAAGCGUCCUGAUAACCCUGAGAGAUGUUAUUACGGCCAUUCCCUUUUUGUCAUGGAGGUGGGGGGUGCGGUGUCUUCUGAGCUGAUACUCCACUCCGUUGUGAGUAUCUGUGGGAUAUGACCAUUCCCUUUUUGUCAUGGAGGUUGGGACUGGGGGGCCUUUCUGAGCUGAUAUUCUGUUGUGAAUAUCUGUGGGAUAAUUUCACGUCGUCGCCUCCCCUGGCUCUAAGGAGCUUGGACGUGUCUGGAGGUUCAUGGAAGCCACCUGCAGGAGUGCCUGGCUUGGCUUUGCCUUUUUGUCUUCUUCCUGCUCUUCUCACUCACCUUCACAUGCCCCCACGUCUGCCCUACCGCAUCCACCCCAUAUCCCUUAAACAGGUAUUUGGGAA
This 720-nucleotide unclassified non-coding RNA is filed under the name Homo sapiens (human). Its description in RNAcentral is "novel transcript (ENSG00000282029.1)". The record is from RNAcentral. Lineage: Eukaryota; Metazoa; Chordata; Mammalia; Primates; Hominidae.